RNAcentral lists this long non-coding RNA (2250 nucleotides) under Cricetulus griseus (Chinese hamster). Its description in RNAcentral is "lncRNA (ENSCGRG00015041610.1)". The record is from RNAcentral. Lineage: Eukaryota; Metazoa; Chordata; Mammalia; Rodentia; Cricetidae.
CCCGAGCUAACAUGGGGUUAGUUCGUUAAAUUACAAUAAAGCCUCGUGCAGUUUGCAGCAAGCUCUCGAAUCCGCCUGGUGAUUGGGGUGACCGCGAACCUGGCCUGAGACCCCGGAUACUUGAGUUUUCGGGGGUCUAACAUUUUGGGGGCUCGUCCGGGAUUUGCGACCACCCUUCACCUGAGUGGAUUCGAUCUUGGAGGGGUCUUUUCUUGUUGCCCUAAGCACAUGGCACGGGAAAGGAGUUCUGCCAUGUGUCACGGGUUAGAAUGUGUUAUGUUGGACACCCCUACCCCAGGUCUCUCUGCCUUGAGCCACAUGGAGCUAGAGCGUAUGAACUUAUCUGGCCUGAUCCGGACAUCUAAAUGGCCUUAAAGUUAUUAAGAACUAUAAAAGGGACUUUGACAAAAUUUUUAUGUUAACUAAAAAAUAAAAAAAAAAUGUAAAAGACUUAAAUAAUAAAGAAAAAAAAUUGUCUAAGAAUGUCUAAGAAAGUCAGAGAAAUAAAAUAAAAGAUUAUAGAGAGUUAAAACAAAUGGUAAAAGUUAUAGAGGGUUAAAGCAAGUUGUUGGAGGUCAGAGAAAAAGAUUGUUACAGAAAGUUAUAGAGGGUUAAAGUAAGUUGUAGAAGGUCAAAGGAAAGUUGUCGAAGGUCAGAGAAAAGGUUGUUACAAGCCAAAAAAAAAAAAUGUAAACUGUGCUAUGGUUUCUCAUGUCUACAAAUAAAUUUUAAAAAUGGUAAUAUAAGUUAAAAUUUUAACCAUAUUAAGCUGAUUUUGUUUUUUAAAAAGUCCUGUUUAUUUCUCAAGUAAAUUAUGUAUACUUGUUUUAAAAAUGUUCUAUUUCCUGGUAUAAACUUAAGCAUGUUAAGCAAAGCAAGUUACGGCCAUUUUGUAACUGGUCACAUGACUUGACUGGUCGCCAUUUUGCUAAAGUUAAAAAAAGAAUACUUAAACCGCCAUCUUGACUAAAGAUGACCGCAUGGAAAUUAGAGUUUAUAAUGUCAGACAGACUGCCAGAUCCGGACAGUGACCCAAAGUCUCCAAAGAAGAUUACGAGGCACCUCAGUUCCUGCACCUGGACCAGUGAGCGAGAUGCUCAGAUGUGAAACCUGCCGCCUGCCAGAACCUGGCCGAGAAUGUGGACAAAGCUGCUGGACACUGGAAAAUUGAUUGUACCCCUUUGCCUAGACAAAACAAGGUCAGUCUUUUCCAUGUCCCUCUUCCACAGAGAGGAAAAAAACUCUCACAGUAUAGGCCUGGCGAAGAUUGCUGUUCUUUGAGACAGCUGCCUCCAACGGUAAUGGAGAAACUUGGGUGUGGCUAACUGUAUAUAGACUGGCUUCUGUCACUUUUCAGUAGAUUCGGAUAAAAUAUACCCUUCUCAGAUCUCUGAAAUAUUACUGGUUGUCAGCUUGACAGCAUCAGUCAGUCAGAUCCACUAUAGACUAGUCAGUAUGUUAGCUGAUAAAAUAGUAACUAUCUACUGUUCAGGCACGAGCUCAAGGUUUUUAAGUUUAUUUUGGUUGUCAUCUAAGUACAAACUUAAAGGGCUUUUCAUCAGGCCAAAGGCACCUCUGUCCAAUCCAUACCUGGCUCUCUGGACAGAAGAAAAAUGUACAUGCUUAUAGCCCAAAUCUGCAGUUUUUGCUAGGACUCAAAGUUAUAAAUAUGUUCCUGCUGUUUAAACAGAUAUUGCUUUUUCUGCACUGUGGGCUUCAGUAAAUAAGUUUUAACCUCUGUUCCUAGUUUAAACAUGUCUUAAACAGGUUUCUGCUUCUGGCAGACAUCUGAGUAUCAGUUGCUGACUACCGGCUGUUCUAAGUAGACUGCGAGCCCUAGACUUGCUGUGGAUGUAAACCAGUCCAGCUGAUGUGGACACCCCCUAUCUCUGCAACAGUGUCUUCUAACCAGAAGCCCCUGAUGAAUUCCCCAUUGCCUAAAUUCCUUUUUGCUUUUGACUAGCAUUUCAACCUUCUGGGGUCCCUAACUUCGUCCCAAAGUCAGCAGGAAGCAGUUUGGAAAAGAAUUUCGCCGUCCAUUUUCCCUGGUUAAAAUGCUAAGUCAAAAGGAACUCCCUUGCAUGGGGAUGCCAGUAUCUAUCACUCCCUGAUGGGGAUGCUAGAGAGACAGCAAUUCCAUGAUUGGAAUUUACAAAAAAGAAAAUGGGGGAAUGAAGGAACCGGCUUCCCUUUUGGCAGCCAUAACAGCCGAACACGUGCUUGCCAUAAACCUGCCUUGGUCACUUAGAG